UACGUAGGGAGCAAGCGUUGUCCGGAAUCAUUGGGCGUAAAGCGCGCGUAGGUGGCCCCAUAAGUCCGCUGUGAAAGUCAAAGGCUCAACCUUUGAAAGCCGGUGGAUACUGUGGGACUAGAGUACGGAAGAGGCGAGUGGAAUUCCUGGUGUAGCGGUGAAAUGCGCAGAUAUCAGGAGGAACACCAAUUGCGAAGGCAGCUCGCUGGAACGUAACUGACGCUGAGACGCGAAAGCGUGGGGAGCAAACAGG
Molecule: ribosomal RNA, 253 nt
Filed under: uncultured bacterium
Lineage: Bacteria
Description: partial 16S ribosomal RNA
Rfam family: Bacterial small subunit ribosomal RNA
Source: RNAcentral